UCUCUAUCCUCUCUCUCUCAUUCUUUAUUAUACUUUCUAUCGAAUUGAAGUUGUCUUCUGAGCUUUUUCAAAUAAUUUGAAAACCAUAAUAUAUUGGAUGAAAUAAUUUGAAGACGAUUCAAAUUGUUUGUAGUGUUUUAAUCUGAAGAAAAUUCAAAUCUGUGUUAUUCUUCCUUCCUGUUGAUACUUAAAAAUAUGGUCUAAUUACAAGUUCUAAAUUAUUCGUGCCUUUCUUAAUUUAUUUUAUUUUUUAAAAUUUUAAACAGCUAUGGCUUCUAUUUAAUAUGUGGCUGGUAAAAUAUUUUUCUUUCCUGGCCAAUAACUCAAUAAAAUUUUGAGUUAGAUUCUCAACAACCCUAUGAUGGCAAAUAUCGUAAUCAAUACAUGAUAGACAAGUUAAAAGAACUCGUUUAUAUUCGUUGACACAGCAAAGCUGCCUGGGAAUAUUUAGAGUACUUCGAAACAAUUCCAUUCUCUUAGUACAAAUUAAUAUCAUACUGGCAGAGACCUUGGUGAAGAAACAGAGAUGGUCGGCCAUGUUUGGAAGCUCAAAAAGUAGUACAAUAAAAACUGCGAGAUCCUUUUAGCCAUAAAAUUAGGAUUUUGCAUAGAUGAAGAGGAGCACUCGACGUAUUGAACGGCGGAGAUCUGAUUGUAGAGUUGAUGUUAUGCGAUGAUUAAUCUUUUGCCAAAACACAAACAGAGCCUAAAAGAGAGCCUUAGGCUAUUGUGUUUGGUUUUGGGGAGAGUGGAAGGUGCUCUGUGGCUCCACUGGUUUUUGGUAGUGUGCCUGCAUCUUCGAGUUUGGGUCGUGUUAUGAAGGUGCGUUUGGUGCGGUGAUGCUUGACAAAGGGAAGCUCGAUAUGUCUCAGAAGCAAUUCAAGUCCACCCCUGAGUUCAUAGACUAGGGAUGAUUGAUGACUGAUCUGGCAUAUUUGAUGCCAACUAUCUCGGCCUUGAAAAAUAAUCCUGUCCUGAACAUGGUUGAUGAAAAGAUCCUCAAGCGUGGGCGUAAUCGACCUGUUCCAGGUGCAUGGUGCUCUGGCGGGAAAAGCUGGUUCAUGGAUCCUUGCUCACAAUGGGGUGAUGUCAAUAUCAUGAAGGCUGGACCUCAAGCAAAGAAGUUUGAAGAGUCCAUUACUAACCUCCUUGAUGACUGGAAUUCACAGUCAAAUCAGUGCAAAUGAAGAUGCUUGACUUCAAGUUAGAACUUCUGAGACUAGGUGCUGUCUUUGCAUCGGACUCGUAGAUUGGUUUGCGAGGCUGCCAUCAGUUUAGAUUACAUUUUUUGGCUCGUAAAGCGUAAUUUUUGAGAGUUGCUCUAGCCACAGGUACUUGAACGAGUGUGUAUAACAGGGCAGAGUGGAAGAGGGAAUGGAAGUGAAUUCACUUUGAUUUUGGGUUAUAUGUAGCAAGGGGGGCAAAUAUUCAAUGUAGAGCCACGAAAGGCCUUUGAAUCAAUAGAGGGGCUUUCUCUUCGUCUUGUCCAUUUGCAUGCUCUUGUAGUUUCUACGUGUUUUGGGAUUAGGGUCCAUCGGUGUUGAAUAUUUGAUUAGUAUAACUUCAUUCUUUCGGUUCUGAUC
Long non-coding RNA from Ziziphus jujuba (common jujube), 1583 nucleotides. RefSeq lists it as uncharacterized. NCBI's taxonomy places the organism in Eukaryota, Viridiplantae, Streptophyta, Magnoliopsida, Rosales, Rhamnaceae. The transcript is spliced from 3 exons. The record is from RefSeq and is a predicted model, not a curated record.